UACUAAUAAAAAAGACCCGACCCUCUUUUGCUUCUUACAAAACUCGAUAGAAUAGGGUUUCCUAUUCCAUUUCUCUUUCGUCGUAUCUUCCAAAACCUGAGACAUUUUGUCCUUGCCAGUGUUUAACAUUUUCUUUAUCUUGAAAUUACUUUGGGUAAUCAAUUCUCUACCUUGGAUCAUCUGUAUAUCAACUCAAAUCAGCUAGAUUAGCUUUCAAACUGUGCUCUCCGAUAUUGGGAAUUUUAGAUGUUUUUGGUGCUUCAUUGAGGGUUUGAGACCCCAGAGAGUAAAUACACAUCUAACUAUGGCCGGUAGGGAGAUGACAAGAUGAUCAGAACCGCAAGUAGUUGGAUUGUAUUUUCUUCCUCAGGUGUAUCACUUGCAGAACUUGAAAAAACCCUCCCCUACACUGCGAGUCCUUUUUUCUGGUUAUAUUAGAAUAGGCUAGAUAGUUAUGUACAGUUUUUGAAGCAACUUUGUUCUGUAAAUAAUUGUAUGUGGACAAGUUUAGCUUUAUCCUUUUCACCCCUUUGUUGGUGUUACUCUUAUGUACAGACAUUAUAUUUUAUUAUUGUUUAGGAUCUUCUUACCCGUGA
Molecule: long non-coding RNA, 596 nt
Organism: Capsicum annuum
Lineage: Eukaryota; Viridiplantae; Streptophyta; Magnoliopsida; Solanales; Solanaceae
Exons: 3
Source: RefSeq, a predicted model, not a curated record